Molecule: ribosomal RNA, 522 nt
Filed under: uncultured bacterium
Lineage: Bacteria
Description: bacterial SSU rRNA
Rfam family: Bacterial small subunit ribosomal RNA
Source: RNAcentral
UGGGCUUGACCGCACAGGACCAGCUUUAGAAAUAGAGCCUUCCCGCAAGGGACCUGUGUAGAGGUGCCGCAUGGCUGUCGUCAGCUCGUGCCGUGAGGUGUUGGGUUAAGUCCCGCAACGAGCGCAACCCUUACUCUUAGUUGCUACCCGCAAGGGAGAACUCUAAGAGGACUGCUCCGGAUAACGGAGAGGAAGGUGGGGAUGAGGUCAAGUCAGCAUGGCCUUUAUGUCCAGGGCUACACACGUGUUACAAUGCGCGCCACAAAGCGUUGCAAACCCGCGAGGGGGAGCUAAUCGCAAAAAAGCGCGCUCAGUUCGGAUUGCAGUCUGCAACUCGACUGCAUGAAGCCGGAAUCGCUAGUAAUGGCGCAUCAGAACGGCGCCGUGAAUACGUUCCCGGGCCUUGUACACACCGCCCGUCACAUCACGAAAGUGGGCUGUACUAGAAAUCACCGAGCCAACCGCAAGGGGGCAGGUGCUCAAGGUAUGACUCAUGAUUGGGGUGAAGUCGUAACAAGGUAC